AGCAGCCGCGGUAAUUCCAGCUCCAAUAGCGUAUAUUAAAGUUGUUGCAGUUAAAAAGCUCGUAGUUGAAUUUCGGGAUCAAUAUGUCGGUCGUGCCAUCGGUACGUACUGGUAUCAUUGGUUUCUCCUUUCUGACGAACCAUGAUGUCAUUAAUUUGGUGUUAUGGGGAGUUAGGACUGUUACUUUGAAAAAUUAGAGUGUUUAAAGCAGGCUUUAGCUUGAAUACAUUAGCAUGGAAUAAUGAAAUAUGACGUUCGAACCUAUUUUGUUGGUUUCUAGGAUCAACGUAAUGAUUAAUAGGGAUAGUUGGGGGCAUUAGUAUUCAAUUGUCAGAGGUGAAAUUCUUGGAUUUAUUGAAGACUAACUACUGCGAAAGCAUUUGCCAAGGAUGUUUUCAUUAAUCAAGAACGAAAGUUAGGGGAUCGAAGACGAUCAGAUACCGUCGUAGU
RNAcentral lists this ribosomal RNA (450 nucleotides) under uncultured Glomus. Its description in RNAcentral is "SSU rRNA". It matches the Rfam family "Eukaryotic small subunit ribosomal RNA", at positions 569 to 1024 of the family's 1831-position model. The record is from RNAcentral. Lineage: Eukaryota; Fungi; Glomeromycota; Glomeromycetes; Glomerales; Glomeraceae.